CAGCAGCCACGGUAAUACGAAGGGGGCUAGCGUUGUUCGGAUUUACUGGGCGUAAAGCGCACGUAGGCGGAUCCUUAAGUCAGAGGUGAAAUCCCAAGGCUCAACCUUGGAACUGCCUUUGAUACUGGGGAUCUCGAGUUCGGGAGAGGUGAGUGGAACUGCGAGUGUAGAGGUGAAAUUCGUAGAUAUUCGCAAGAACACCAGUGGCGAAGGCGGCUCACUGGCCCGAUACUGACGCUGAGGUGCGAAAGCGUGGGGAGCAAACAGGAUUAGAUACCCCGGUAGUCCCUGUCUCUUAUAC
This 301-nucleotide ribosomal RNA is filed under the name uncultured bacterium. RNAcentral's name for it is "partial 16S ribosomal RNA". It matches the Rfam family "Bacterial small subunit ribosomal RNA", at positions 509 to 807 of the family's 1533-position model. The record is from RNAcentral.